AGAGUUUGAUCCUGGCUCAGGACGAACGCUGGCGGCGCGCCUAACACAUGCAAGUCGAACGAGCGAGAGAGAGCUUGCUUUCUCGAGCGAGUGGCGAACGGGUGAGUAACGCGUGAGGAACCUGCCUCAAAGAGGGGGACAACAGUUGGAAACGACUGCUAAUACCGCAUAAGCCCACGGUGCCGCAUGGCACAGAGGGAAAAGGAGCAAUCCGCUUUGAGAUGGCCUCGCGUCCGAUUAGCUAGUUGGUGAGGUAACGGCCCACCAAGGCGACGAUCGGUAGCCGGACUGAGAGGUUGAACGGCCACAUUGGGACUGAGACACGGCCCAGACUCCUACGGGAGGCAGCAGUGGGGAAUAUUGCACAAUGGGGGAAACCCUGAUGCAGCGACGCCGCGUGGAGGAAGAAGGUCUUCGGAUUGUAAACUCCUGUUGUUGGGGAAGAUAAUGACGGUACCCAACAAGGAAGUGACGGCUAACUACGUGCCAGCAGCCGCGGUAAAACGUAGGUCACAAGCGUUGUCCGGAAUUACUGGGCGUAAAGGAGCGCAGGCGGGAAGACAAGUUGGAAGUGAAAUCUAUGGGCUCAACCCAUAAACAGCUUUCAAAACUGUUUUUCUUGAGUAGUGCAGAGGUAGGCGGAAUUCCCGGUGUAGCGGUGGAAUGCGUAGAUAUCGGGAGGAACACCAGUGGCGAAGGCGGCCUACUGGGCACCAACUGACGCUGAGGCUCGAAAGUGUGGGUAGCAAACAGGAUUAGAUACCCUGGUAGUCCACACCGUAAACGAUGAUUACUAGGUGUUGGAGGAUUGACCCCUUCAGUGCCGCAGUUAACACAAUAAGUAAUCCACCUGGGGAGUACGACCGCAAGGUUGAAACUCAAAGGAAUUGACGGGGGCCCGCACAAGCAGUGGAGUAUGUGGUUUAAUUCGACGCAACGCGAAGAACCUUACCAAGUCUUGACAUCCCUUGACAGGCAUAGAAAUAUGUUUUCUCUUCGGAGCAAGGAGACAGGUGGUGCAUGGUUGUCGUCAGCUCGUGUCGUGAGAUGUUGGGUUAAGUCCCGCAACGAGCGCAACCCUUAUGGUUAGUUACUACGCAAGAGGACUCUGGCCAGACUGCCGUUGACAAAACGGAGGAAGGUGGGGAUGACGUCAAAUCAUCAUGCCCUUUAUGACUUGGGCUACACACGUACUACAAUGGCGUUAAACAAAGAGAAGCGAGACCGCGAGGUGGAGCAAAACUCAGAAACAACGUCCCAGUUCGGACUGC
Molecule: ribosomal RNA, 1271 nt
Filed under: metagenome
Description: bacterial SSU rRNA
Rfam family: Bacterial small subunit ribosomal RNA
Source: RNAcentral